This 71-nucleotide transfer RNA is filed under the name Hortaea werneckii. It matches the Rfam family "tRNA". From Rfam's summary of the family: Transfer RNA (tRNA) molecules are approximately 80 nucleotides in length. Their secondary structure includes four short double-helical elements and three loops (D, anti-codon, and T loops). Further hydrogen bonds mediate the characteristic L-shaped molecular structure. tRNAs have two regions of fundamental functional importance: the anti-codon, which is responsible for specific mRNA codon recognition, and the 3' end, to which the tRNAs corresponding amino acid is attached (by aminoacyl-tRNA synthetases). tRNAs cope with the degeneracy of the genetic code in two manners: having more than one tRNA (with a specific anti-codon) for a particular amino acid; and 'wobble' base-pairing, i.e. permitting non-standard base-pairing at the 3rd anti-codon position. Lineage: Eukaryota; Fungi; Ascomycota; Dothideomycetes; Mycosphaerellales; Teratosphaeriaceae. The record is from Rfam by way of RNAcentral. RNAcentral also lists the same sequence under 1 other name.
UGCGGAUUGAUGUAAUUGUAACAUAAUAGGCUCAUGACCUGUAAUUGGAGGUGCGAAUCCUUCGUCCGCAU